CAGCUUCACCACUGCAAAAACUGUGCCUUAAAGUCAUUAUAACAUCAUUUUUUACAUUACUAGCAGACCUGAAAAUACAGAUAACUUGAAGUAUAGUUCCUCUAAUUCAGCUCUUUUCACCUAAAUUCACAUUUAAUUCCUGACAAUUCACACUUAACGGGUCACUUCAAGUUAGUCGAGAAGCAUUGUUGGGCUUUGGACGCACACGCGCGGGAGGCAGGGAAGGACCUGACUGGAGGGACUAUAG
Pelobates cultripes (western spadefoot toad) is the source of this 247-nucleotide non-coding RNA. NCBI's taxonomy places the organism in Eukaryota, Metazoa, Chordata, Amphibia, Anura, Pelobatidae. The record is from the annotation of a GenBank genome assembly.